AGCUAUAGGCUUAGGUACCUAUGGUAGUUUCUGCCCAAAUGAUGAAAUUAAAUGGCUGCCUUAGCGUGAGGGUGCAAAGGUAGCGUAAUAAUUUGUCGCUUAAUUAGUGUACCUGUAUCAACGAAGGCUUUGAGUAAUAUUUUUUUAUUUUUAAGAAGGAAAUUAGAGUGAAAGUUAAAAUCCUUUUAGAGUUUAUAAAGACGAAAAGACCCUAUAGAGUUUUAUUUUUAAAAACCUAAGCAGGUAGAAGAUUGUGAGGAUGAAUAUAAAAGAUUUAGAUGGGGCAUCUCCAGAACUUAGUUUCUGGCAGCGGGGGUUCUAUAUGUUUUCUUUUUUAGAACAAGUUGUAAAUUAUAAUAAAUUACCUUAGGGAUAACAGGUUAAUAGUUUUUUAGAGAUCAAAUUGACAAAACUGUUUAAUACCUCGAUGUUGGCUUAGGAAAAGAUUUUUAUUGCAGGAGUAAAAAAGUCUCGGUGUGUUCACCCGUUAAAUUUCUACA
Molecule: ribosomal RNA, 500 nt
Filed under: Paranerilla limicola
Lineage: Eukaryota; Metazoa; Annelida; Polychaeta; Nerillidae
Description: partial 16S ribosomal RNA
Rfam family: Bacterial large subunit ribosomal RNA
Source: RNAcentral